RNAcentral lists this ribosomal RNA (516 nucleotides) under Allancastria cretica. RNAcentral describes it as "partial 16S ribosomal RNA". The stretch from base 388 to 516 matches the Rfam family "Bacterial large subunit ribosomal RNA", at positions 2473 to 2600 of the family's 2925-position model. Lineage: Eukaryota; Metazoa; Arthropoda; Insecta; Lepidoptera; Papilionidae. The record is from RNAcentral.
GUCUUUUUGAAAAUAAUUUAAAGUCUAAUCUGCCCACUGAUUUUAAAUUAAAGGGCUGCAGUAUUUUGACUGUACAAAGGUAGCAUAAUCAAUAGUCUCUUAAUUGGUGACUUGUAUGAAAGAUUUGAUGAAAUAUAAACUGUCUCUAUUAAAUUUAUAAAAUUUAAUUUUUUAGUUAAAAAGCUAAAAUAUGUUUAAAAGACGAGAAGACCCUAUAGAGUUUUAUAAUUUAUUUAUUUUUAAUUUUGUUUAAAUAUUAAAAUUAAAAAUAAAUGAAUUAUUUUAUUGGGGUGAUAGAAAAAUUAGAUAAACUUUUUUUAAAAUUUUUACAUUAAUAUAUGAUUAUAUGAUCCGUAAAUUACGAUUAAAAGAUUAAAUUACCUUAGGGAUAACAGCGUAAUUUUUUUUUUUAGUUCAAAUAAGAAAAAGAGUUUGCGACCUCGAUGUUGGAUUAAGAUAAAAUUUAAAAUGCAAAAGUUUAAAAUUUUUGAUCUGUUCGAUCAUUAAAAUCUUACA